Molecule: small nucleolar RNA, 92 nt
Organism: Callithrix jacchus (white-tufted-ear marmoset)
Lineage: Eukaryota; Metazoa; Chordata; Mammalia; Primates; Cebidae
Source: Ensembl
AGCCUUCUGUAACUCAUAAGAAACGAUGAUGAUUGGAUGUUUACAUGUAUGUGUGAAAUGUGCCACAAUGUCGGAACAUUACCCAUCUGACC